Molecule: long non-coding RNA, 609 nt
Filed under: Mytilus galloprovincialis (Mediterranean mussel)
Lineage: Eukaryota; Metazoa; Mollusca; Bivalvia; Mytilida; Mytilidae
Source: RNAcentral
GGGUCUUACAAAAGAAGUGAUGCUUUUAUAACGGCAAUUAAAUUGUUGGUAAGAAAAAUUGAGCACAUCAAAUGGACCAGAGUGAUACCGUAUUUUUGAUAAUGUCCACUACGAAACGGGUCAAAUCUCCUUCAGUAUCUGGUUUUAAAAUUAUGAAAAAAAUAUCAGUGUACAGCUUGAUGAAUGCUUUGAUGAAUACAAUCAGUCUUGUUACAAUUGCAAUAUAGGGAUUGUGGGAAAAAAAUAAAGCAUGCGAAUACGUCCCUUACGAAACGGUCCCCUACGAAACAAGUAUGGAAGAAAAACGUUUCUUUUUUUUUUAAUCUUUUUUCAAUUAUAUUCGUGCAAAACAAAUAACAAGGGUUAGUUUCAUGUAAUUUUUAUUAUGUUUUUAUUAACAUAUGAUAGGGUUGAUGUCAACUACGAAACUUUUUGUCCACUACGCAACGGUUUUGUCCACUACGAAACGCAUCAAAAUGUCCACUACGUAACAUAAGUUGAACCUUCAUAUGUGAAGUACUGUCUAAUCUUUAUCGAUAAAAAUGGUUUUCCAAUUCAGAAAAAAAAUGAUAUUUUUCUAGUAUUUAAAGUAAACAAACUGGAAUGUCU